Bos taurus (domestic cattle) is the source of this 1355-nucleotide long non-coding RNA. The record is from Ensembl. Lineage: Eukaryota; Metazoa; Chordata; Mammalia; Artiodactyla; Bovidae.
GCCCAAAUCAUUAUUGGGUCUCUCCAUUUAAAACAACAAUGACCAAAAAAAAAAAACAACUUAAAAAAAAAAUCUUCCCUAGAAAUCAGAUAAACCAAACAUGCCAUUGCCAUAUUCAAGAGUCAGUCUAUGACAUAAGGCAAGCUCUCCUUCAGAAAGAUGUAAAGUCCACUUGGGAGCCCAAAUUAGGCUUAUCAUCAAGGUAUUGAUAUUAAAAAGUACUGAGAAAGCUAUCAGUUAGAAUGCUUUAUGUAUUAGUACAUAUUUAAAAAUCAUAUCUGGAUCUUUCUUCAUUCCUGGGGUCACAGGGUGCAUGGGAAGUUUACAUGGGAGGAUGCACAGUUAUUUGUAGCAGUAUUUUCAGCAGGGGCUUGGACCAAACGACCCUUCAAGGUGACACAGUAUUUUUCGAGUCCACAAGCUGUGUUUAUAUCCAAUCCCAGCUCAGACAAGCUUCACUAACCACAGAAGUUGGGAUAGAAGCCAGAUGCAUCCCACACAUCCCUGUGGUCCUCCAGCCUUCUGGCAAACUCCGGGACCAGAUUGGAAAAAUCUGUGCCCGGUGUGGGGGCCAAGUUUGGCGUGAUCCGGGGAAGAUUUAUACGGCUUUGGUUGGAGUCCACACGCAGCGGCUCAUUUCUUCCAAGACGCACAACCGAGCAAUGACAGAAGGAACGAGAACAGCUGCAAGCACUGAGACUCUGUCAAGAAAGCCUCUUUCUUCUUUAGGUUAUCCAAGACCCACGCACUGCAACCAGAUGCAUGCCGUCCUGAGCCCAAACCCUCGACUUCUCUCCCAUCUCGGACUUUCAAAUUCUUAAAUUUGCCCUUUACUUAAAAAAGUCAAUGAUUUCACCAAGAAAGUUUGAUUAGUUUCUUUUACUUUCUGUAAUGAAGUGCCAUCCUUUUUACACUUGAAAGGAUCUUUGUAAUAAUGCAACAUUGAUCUUUUGAAUACAGAUGAGCUAACCUAGAUAAUAGGAUUUAGAAUGUGAGAGACUGGACUUGGGAUGAUAUUUAAGGCUCCAGUGCCAUCAAGAGGAAUUGCAGCAUAAGACAUCUGCUUCCAGAGACAUUGUCUGCCGCCACAUUAAUAGAUGGAGGAUCAUGUUCCCUACCGCACAAAGUUUUUAUUUUGUUCAGCAGCUUCAGAGAUGUCAAUAUGCUCUAUCUUCAGAUGUCAAUCACCCAGUGUGGGGAGGUGGUGGGGGAGAAGGGCGAGAUUUAGCCCUGAGAUCCAUCCUCUCCAGUCUGCAGCUUUCUACCUCAAAGGUGGAGAACUGGGAUUCAAAUUUGAUACUAGAAGACAGUUUAAUAAAACUUCAGGGGGAAAAAAAAAGAUAAAUCAUUUAUUC